RNAcentral lists this ribosomal RNA (483 nucleotides) under uncultured bacterium. Its description in RNAcentral is "partial 16S ribosomal RNA". It matches the Rfam family "Bacterial small subunit ribosomal RNA", at positions 28 to 523 of the family's 1533-position model. The record is from RNAcentral.
GAUGAACGCUGGCGGCGUGCUUAACACAUGCAAGUCGAACGGAAAGGCCAGUGCUUGCACUGGUACUCGAGUGGCGAACGGGUGAGUAACACGUGGGUGAUCUGCCCUGCACUUCGGGAUAAGCCUGGGAAACUGGGUCUAAUACCGGAUAGGACCACAUUUUGGAUGGUGUGGUGGAAAGUUUUUCGGUGUGGGAUGAGCUCGCGGCCUAUCAGCUUGUUGGUGGGGUAAUGGCCUACCAAGGCGUCGACGGGUAGCCGGCCUGAGAGGGUGUCCGGCGACAUUGGGACUGAGAUACGGCCCAGACUCCUACGGGAGGCAGCAGUGGGGAAUAUUGCACAAUGGGCGCAAGCCUGAUGCAGCGACGCCGCGUGGGGGAUGACGGCCUUCGGGUUGUAAACUCCUUUCGCUAGGGACGAAGCGUAUUUGUGACGGUACCUGGAGAAGAAGCACCGGCUAACUACGUGCCAGCCGCCGCCGUAA